Molecule: ribosomal RNA, 253 nt
Filed under: uncultured bacterium
Lineage: Bacteria
Description: partial 16S ribosomal RNA
Rfam family: Bacterial small subunit ribosomal RNA
Source: RNAcentral
UACGUAGGGGGCAAGCGUUGUCCGGAUUUACUGGGCGUAAAGAGCGUGUAGGCGGCCACGCAGGUCCGUUGUGAAAACUGGAGGCUCAACCUCCAGCUGUCGACGGAAACCGUAUGGCUAGAGUCCGGAAGAGGAGAGUGGAAUUCCUGGUGUAGCGGUGAAAUGCGCAGAUAUCGGGAAGAACACCCGUGGCGAAGGCGGCUCUCUGGGACGGUACCGACGCUGAGACGCGAAAGCGUGGGGAGCGAACAGG